This 253-nucleotide ribosomal RNA is filed under the name uncultured bacterium. RNAcentral's name for it is "partial 16S ribosomal RNA". It matches the Rfam family "Bacterial small subunit ribosomal RNA", at positions 524 to 776 of the family's 1533-position model. The record is from RNAcentral.
UACGGGGGGGGCAAGCGUUGUUCGGAAUUACUGGGCGUAAAGGGCUCGUAGGCGGCCAACUAAGUCAGACGUGAAAUCCCUCGGCUUAACCGGGGAACUGCGUCUGAUACUGGAUGGCUUGAGAUUGGGAGAGGGAUGCGGAAUUCCAGGUGUAGCGGUGAAAUGUGUAGAUAUCUGGAGGAACACCGGUGGCGAAGGCGGCAUCCUGGACCAACACUGACGCUGAGGAGCGAAAGCCAGGGGAGCAAACGGG